Molecule: long non-coding RNA, 337 nt
Filed under: Castor canadensis (American beaver)
Lineage: Eukaryota; Metazoa; Chordata; Mammalia; Rodentia; Castoridae
Description: lncRNA (ENSCCNG00000019755.1)
Source: RNAcentral
UUGUUUUUGACAGCUGCCCCAAACUCCACCGUCCCUACUCAAGCGGCGGAAGACAGCCGCUUCUGACUCAAGGGGCGGGGCACGAGAGGAAAAGUAUUCGGGACAAGAACCAACUUCUUUCAGAAUGCGCGGCUGCCAUUGACACGCGGGCGCGGCGCGGCGCACCCUUCUCCCGGGACUCUUCCUCUAGCGACAGAGAGAGGACUUAAAAAGAAUCAAUGAGGGGAAAAGCGUCACUCUAAGAAGGCACACACAGUUCCAUUUGUUGUGUUAUCUUCUGAAGCUGCCUCAAGGCCAAGCAAAGAAAUAAAUAGCUUCCUUAUAAAGUUACUGUUCA